UACGAAGGGUGCUAGCGUUGUUCGGAAUCACUGGGCGUAAAGCGCGCGUAGGCGGCUUUUCAAGUCAGGGGUGAAAUCCUGGAGCUUAACUCCAGAAUUGCCUUUGAAACUGUAAAGCUGGAGUGUCGGAGGGGAUAGCGGAAUUCCUAAUGUAGAGGUGAAAUUCGUAGAUAUUAGGAGGAACACCGGUGGCGAAGGCGGGUCUCUGGGCCGUAACUGACGCUGAGGAGCGAAAGCGUGGGGAGCGAACAGG
This 253-nucleotide ribosomal RNA is filed under the name uncultured bacterium. RNAcentral's name for it is "partial 16S ribosomal RNA". It matches the Rfam family "Bacterial small subunit ribosomal RNA", at positions 524 to 776 of the family's 1533-position model. The record is from RNAcentral.